AUGUCGCGGGCGACGAGGCUGGUGCCGGAGCUGCCGCUGCUGCGGCGGGGGAGGCGCCCGCAGGUGGCGGACGCUGGGAACGAGGAGGAGCUGGCCGUGCCGGCGCACUUCCGGUGCCCGAUCUCGCUGGAGCUGAUGAAGGACCCGGUCACGGCGCCCACGGGGAUCACCUACGACCGGGAGAGCGUGGAGGGGUGGCUGGCGCGGGGCCGCGCCACGUGUCCCGUCACCGGCGGCCCCGUGCGGCUCUCCGACCUCGUCCCCAACCACGCCACGCGCCGCAUGAUCCAGGACUGGUGCGUCGCCAACCAGGCCGAGCGGGUGCCCACGCCCAAGGUGCCCGUCGCCGAGGCCGACGCGGCCGAGGUGCUCGCCGCCGUGUCCACCGCCGCCAGGCGCGGGAACGCCCCUGUGUGCGGGCAGCUCGCCGCCAGGGCUAGGGCGAUCGGCAAGGAGAGCGACCGCAACCGCCGGUGCCUCGCGGCGGCAGGUGCGGCUCGCCAGCUCUCGUCGGCUUUCCAGAGCCUCGCCGGGGAGCCCGUGGAGGGCACCAGCGCCGCGGUAAUGGGCGCGCUGGGGAAGAUCUUGGCGGCUCUGACCGUGUUCUUCCCGCUCGACGACGAGGCGCGGCGCUGCAUUGCAUCCCCGGCCUCCCUUAAGACCCUCGUCUCGGUGCUCUCCCACGGCGACCUCGCCGCGCGGGCCAGCGCCGCCAUCGUCCUCCGCGAGCUCGCCUCGUCCGCCGACCGGCACACCGUCGACGUCAUCUCGAGGACGCCGGGCGUGUGCAGCGCGCUCGUCGGCCUCGUCAGGAACCCCGUGUCCCCGCAGGCCACCAAGGCCGCGCUCGUCACGGCCUACUACCUCGUCUCCGGCAGCGACCGCGCGGCCGCCCGCUUCGCCGAGCUAGGCGCGGUGCCCGUCGUGGCGGAACUCCUCGUGGACGCUGACAAGGGGACGAGCGAGAAGGCACUGGCAGUGCUCGACAGCGUCCUGUGCGCCGACGCCGGACUCGAGUCCGCGCGCGCGCACGCGCUGGUCGUGCCGGUGCUGGUCAAGAAGAUGUUCCGCGUGUCCGACAUGGCCACGGAGUUCGCCGUCUCCGCGCUCUGGCGCCUCUGCCGCGCCGCGGACGCCGGCGCCGGCGCGUGCUGCGCCGAGGCGCUGCGUGUGGGCGCCUUCCAGAAGCUGCUCCUGCUGCUCCAGGUGGGCUGCGGCGGCGUCACCAAGGACCGGGCCAGCGAGCUGCUCAAGCUGCUCAAUGGCUUCAGGGGCAGCGUGGAGUGCAUCGAGACGGUGGACUUCAGGGGGCUCAAGAGGCCAUUUUGA
This 1329-nucleotide ribosomal RNA is filed under the name Triticum aestivum (bread wheat). RNAcentral's name for it is "partial small subunit ribosomal RNA". Lineage: Eukaryota; Viridiplantae; Streptophyta; Magnoliopsida; Poales; Poaceae. The record is from RNAcentral.